Molecule: small nuclear RNA, 18 nt
Filed under: Arabidopsis thaliana (thale cress)
Lineage: Eukaryota; Viridiplantae; Streptophyta; Magnoliopsida; Brassicales; Brassicaceae
Description: snRNA_15355
Source: RNAcentral
CUUUGUCGCUAAGAUUCG